This 75-nucleotide transfer RNA is filed under the name Azospirillum sp. TSA6c. Its description in RNAcentral is "tRNA-Val". It matches the Rfam family "tRNA". Rfam says of the family: Transfer RNA (tRNA) molecules are approximately 80 nucleotides in length. The record is from RNAcentral. Lineage: Bacteria; Pseudomonadati; Pseudomonadota; Alphaproteobacteria; Rhodospirillales; Azospirillaceae.
GGUCUCGUAGCUCAGCGGGAGAGCACUACGUUGACAUCGUAGGGGUCACUGGUUCAAUCCCAGUACCGCCCACCA